CGCCGCACGUCCUGCAGGACAGAGACCUGCUGAGGCCACCUGGGUGUCCUCAGCUCUGACUUCACACGCUCAGGUCACUCAGCACCUCCCCAGGACAAAGAGAUGCUUGGAUAGAUCAUGGUGGAAACAGGAAAUUUUGCUCCAUUCUACGUCAGAGACCUUGGUGUGCCUUGACUGGCUCUUUGCAGAGUGUUAAAAUUAUCCGAAGGUGAAGCACAGUGAGCUCUGCCCGGUGAAUUCUCUCACCAGUGUUGGUAUGACAGACUGAAUGGCCCAUUCUGACCUCAUGUAUAACCACACGAUCCUGGCACACCUUCUAUUGCCACAGAAAAUAGUUUUAAGUUUAUACCAGGGUGAGAGGAAAGAGCAUGAGCCAGAGGAGUAUUGUCCUUUUAAUUUAAAAUACUCACAUAAAGCUAAAGGACAAGGAAAUGGAUGUCUUGGAUUAACACAAACUGAUUAACAACAAAACAAAAACAACUGUCUAGGUGGAGCUGGUGAAUAGUUCAGCCUUAAUGCAUUUUGGCCUCUGUCACAAUGUUCCAUCAAAGAUGAUCUCCUCCUUCUGGGAUAAUUAACUUCCUUAAACAAUGUCGACCAUUUGCUUUUAUUCACCCAACAAAAGCUAGCUCAGGAGCCUGUUUCUGAGAGCUUGCCACUGAAUAAUGACUUGCUAAACUCCACAGAAGAGGAAAAGGAGAAAAGAUGCUAUCUAAAGACACAGAUGUAGCUUGACAACGCAGAACAACACAGAAGAGACAGAUACUCUGUAAUGACUUUGCCAUCAGUUUUAACAAGGCAUAUCUUUUACAGGGGUAUUUAAUAAUGAUAUGACUGACUCAGAAAGGGAGGAAAUGCACUCCCAUGAAUGGUCAGUUCCUCCCAAAUAUUCACUAAUUACUUAGUUAUUAGGAAACAAUCACAUAUUUAGUUUUAAGGAAAUACAUUUGAAUUAGUAAAGUUUCAGAAACACGUAAAAGCAAAAUGUAAUCUGACACUUUCAUAUAUGCAGUUAUUAGAUAUCGUCCUAUAGAUACAGAUUAGAUAUGUGGUUAUAUGAGAUAUAACCACAGAGGUUCCACAUGGCCAGAGUGACUGGAGCUGGAAGCUGGAUCACUCAUUUUGGACCAUCCUGAGAAAGGUAAGUAAGCACAGAAUGGAGUAUUGCCUUGCAGACAUAUUUCAGAAGGAGAUAUGAGCAAUUUUAAAUGACUGUGACAGAAAGAAAUCUUAUGUUAGAGUGCAAUGGUUUCAGUGAGGUCAGGACACUCUACAUAAAGCAUCUCCUGACAACGUGGGCAAGCCACAAAUCAAGGAUGGGCUUACAAACACCGGUGAAGUAGUGAGUGGACACUAUAAACAUGCAGCAGUUUUGUUCCCUGUGAAGAAUGCCUCACCAUACUCACUUGUAUGCCUCUGAAGACCCCGUGGGUGUGUAUUCUGUACUGGGCCCCACAGCUGUACAACAUGGGAGUGCUGUGGUUCUCAUUUUCAUAUCCCGCUGUGUGCCUGUAAGUAAAGAGGGGAAUAACCAAAAAAUUACAUAUUUUUCAGUACUCAGCUCCAUGUGAGAAGCUUCUUUCCUUAAGUCAGUGGUAACACAUGCAGAGUUUGCUUUUACAGCCAUGAUAUCCAAGUUCAAGUGAAAUUCACCAGAGGAAACCUGCUCUGCCUUCAUUCUCAUGGAUCUGCUCCCACUGGCACAGUGCACUGACUCCAUACAAACAUCUAAUAGCAUCCAUUAAGGCAUCCAGGGAAAAAAAGAAAAAAAAAAAAAAAGAAAUUAUCAUGAUUUGAGCUCUGAUGUAUUUCCACAAAGAUUUUAGAGCAUUUUGAAGCUGGAAUGGAAUGGAAUGGAAUGGAAUGGAAUGGAAUGGAAUGGAAUGGAAUGGAAUGGAACGGGAACCACCAUUGAUAAGGAGGAAGUUCUGCAGCAGAAGCUGUUGCUGACCUGCAGCACAGCAGUAAAUCAAGGGUAAAUGUGAACUUCAGCACUGGUCACCCUGAGUGUAACCUCCCCUUCACGCCUGUCCUAACAACCUUAAACACCAAAUAAACAACAGACACAAAGGCUGAUAAGAAUUCCCAGGACAGAAAUUUGUGAUAACCUCUUUUGUAAGGAGUUCUGAAAUACUGUUCUGAAAUAAUUCCUCCCAGGAAUAAGAGGCAGAACCAAGACCCUGUCUGUGCCCUAAGGAAUGGCUCCAUGAAUGAGAGGCAUCCUCCAGAAUGUGCAAAAGUCUGACUGAAGCCAGAAAGAAGUGCUGGGGAGAACUGAAGGCAAGGAGCUAAACAGGACUGUCAUCGUUGGACAGAAUCUAGAAGCUCCAUAUUUCAACAGGAAGAUUGACUCCAAAAUUCUUAAAUUACAACUACGAGAUUGAGAAAAGCAUCUGAAACACUAAACGCCUGGGAAUCACUUAUGAACAGUUCAUAUAUUUUAAAGAUGUAAAUCUUGGGAAGAAUACCUUAUGUUCAUGGCAAC
Molecule: long non-coding RNA, 2485 nt
Organism: Passer domesticus (house sparrow)
Lineage: Eukaryota; Metazoa; Chordata; Aves; Passeriformes; Passeridae
Exons: 4
Source: RefSeq, a predicted model, not a curated record